Molecule: ribosomal RNA, 253 nt
Filed under: uncultured bacterium
Lineage: Bacteria
Description: partial 16S ribosomal RNA
Rfam family: Bacterial small subunit ribosomal RNA
Source: RNAcentral
UACGUAGGGGGCAAGCGUUGUCCGGAUUUAUUGGGCGUAAAGAGCGUGUAGGCGGCCAUGCAGGUCCGUUGUGAAAACUCGAGGCUCAACCUCGAGACGCCGAUGGAAACCGCAUGGCUAGAGUCCGGAAGAGGAGAGUGGAAUUCCUGGUGUAGCGGUGAAAUGCGCAGAUAUCAGGAGGAACACCGGUGGCGAAGGCGGGUCUCUGGGCCGAUAUUGACGCUGAGGAGCGAAAGCGUGGGGAGCGAACAGG